AUGGACGUCGACGGCGAGACCAUGGGCAAGAAGAAGAUCCCGGUCACGGAUGCUGCCCGGCUGGUCAGCGCUUGGGCGCUCUUCACCGCUUGCGUCUUCCUCGCCUCCUUCGCCCUCGCCUGCUACCACGUCCCGUGCGACCUGUGCGUCCAGCCGACGGACAUUACCGGGAUGGUGUACUGCGCUGCGACUCAGGCGGCCGUGGCGGCGCUGGCGCUGCUGCUCCCAGGCCGCCACCUCUGCGUCCGCAGUGCCCUCGCGGACCUCGCGCUCGUGCUCACCAUCGUCGUCCACCUCAUCCUCACGUUGGCUGUCGACCCCGACAACAUCCUCGUGAUCUACUGGGCCAUCUUCUUCAUGGCGGGCGACUUGGUCAGCUCCCUGGCCCUCCUUUUGGGAGGUGAGGAGGAUUGA
Molecule: ribosomal RNA, 414 nt
Filed under: Triticum aestivum (bread wheat)
Lineage: Eukaryota; Viridiplantae; Streptophyta; Magnoliopsida; Poales; Poaceae
Description: partial small subunit ribosomal RNA
Source: RNAcentral